This 389-nucleotide ribosomal RNA is filed under the name uncultured bacterium. RNAcentral describes it as "bacterial SSU rRNA". It matches the Rfam family "Bacterial small subunit ribosomal RNA", at positions 29 to 416 of the family's 1533-position model. The record is from RNAcentral.
AAUGAACGCUGGCGGCGUGCCUAACACAUGCAAGUCGGAUGUGCCCGCAAGGGUGCAUGGCAGACGGGUGAGUAACGCGUGGGGAAUCUACCUUUUAGUGGGGAAUAACGCUCCGAAAGGAGUGGUAAUACCGCAUGUGACCAUUGGCUGGGAUGUUGAUGGUGAAACCCUGGGACCUUCGGGCCAGGGGCUAAAAGAGGAUCCUGCGUCUGAUUAGCUAGUUGGCGGGGUAACGGCCCACCAAGGCGACGAUCAGUAGCGGGUCUGAGGGGAUGAUCCGCCACACUGGGACUGAGACACGGCCCAGACUCCUACGGGAGGCAGCAGUGGGGAAUUUUGGACAAUGGGCGCAAGCCUGAUCCAGCAAUGCCGCGUGCAGGAAGAAGGCC